Molecule: transfer RNA, 74 nt
Filed under: Mesorhizobium sp. B3-1-7
Lineage: Bacteria; Pseudomonadati; Pseudomonadota; Alphaproteobacteria; Hyphomicrobiales; Phyllobacteriaceae
Also listed under: 1 other name
Description: tRNA-OTHER
Rfam family: tRNA
About the family: Transfer RNA (tRNA) molecules are approximately 80 nucleotides in length.
Source: RNAcentral
GCCGAUGUAGCUCAGAGGGAGAGCGCCGGAUUUGGGUCCGGAGGUCAGGGGUUCGAGUCCCUUCAUCAGCACCA